Non-coding RNA from Arachis ipaensis, 880 nucleotides. Lineage: Eukaryota; Viridiplantae; Streptophyta; Magnoliopsida; Fabales; Fabaceae. The record is from RefSeq and is a predicted model, not a curated record.
ACCGGGACCCAAACCGGACCCAUGGGUUCAACCGGGCCCCUAACAUAAAUGAAGCAGCAGCUUCAUCUUCUCCAUUUCACCACAGCAACGAAAAACACAGCAAGGGGGAGAAGAGAAGAAACCUAACCCUCACCAUUCCUUCCAACUACCAUAACUUCCUCAUCCGGGCUCCGAUUGCCGCACCGUUCGCGGCCACGCGCUCAGCGCGUCGAGCUCUACCUUUCUAUCUAAACAAUUUCUCUGGUUCAAGUUAGAUUCCGGAACUUGUGGGCUCAAGCUAUUGAGCAUAUGGGUAUGGUGUAGUUUAAGAGGGUGUUUAUGCAUUGAACUUGAAUUUGGAUUACUUGGAACUUUGUUGGUGACAAGGCUUGCUUUGGGGCUAUUUGAUUGAGCUUCGAGGGGCUGUGAUUUUAUGUUGAGAAGCUGCCUUGGGUGAAUUAAGUGAUCGGCCAAGGUAUGGUUUAAGUUUCGCACGUUUAAUAUUUACGGUGUUGUGAAAACUUAGGUUAGAGGAACCAUAGAAUAAGUUGGAUUGUUUGUUGUAUUUAAUGAUUAGCCUUGUAAUGUUGUUAGAAUAGAUUUGCUAGUGAAUUUAUAUAUUAGAAUUAUGAGGUGUGAAUGCUAUUAAUGGUGUGCUCUUAUAUUUAUUUAUGAUAGAUUAGAAUUGGUGUUUGUUAAUAAGGAUGUAGAGUUGUGUUGUGGUGGUAUUGUAUAUACUGUAACUAAUUAUGUAAUGAUCGGAAUUACAUGAGACCAAGUUUGGGCUAAACUUGGGAAUAUAAGGAACUAAACUGGAAAUUUUGGGACCUUUUUGUUAAAUAUACAAUUUAUGGCAAAUUUUUAAAGUUAGGUUGUUAAAUCUGUCCAGCAGCAGAAAAGA